CCAGCAUCUCCUGUGAUACCUGAAGAAACAAAAAACUUCAGUAUUUAGCACACAUAUAGGUGUGAUGCAUUUUAAAGAUGCACCUUUAUGCACUUAAAGCACUUACUGAUAGCUGCAGAUACUGAGUUUUCUUCGUGGCUGUUAACUGGAUGUUGGUGGAGUCUGCCCUUCCCCUGGACUGUGACGCUGCCAGCUGGAAGAUCCUGUAGCGAGCGCCUUCCUUCAGCAAGGAGCACACAUCAGGCAGCGGGCGCCAGAUACUCAGUACUGCUCCUGACAACAGCACAGUAAGCUGCCUGUAAGCCUGCAAGGCUUUUAAUUGGUCAUCACUGAGAUAUCCCUGCAACCAAGAGAAAAUGAACUCAGUAUCUUUUUAUUUAAUCAAAAAAACAUGGUCGAGAUUUUCAGACAGCCUCUUUCUUGAAUGGUCGUCUGUUACAAGCAAUUUAUUUCCAGCUGAUACACUACUAGGACUUGAAAUGAGGUAUGAUAAAACAACAGGAGGCAUCAGUCUUACCUGGUACUCACCUGGUGCUCUCUGGUCUGUGCAGAGCAUUACCUUACACACUGUUCUUAAGUGACAAUUAGUGAGAAGCCUGCUUGAGAGUGCAUAACUAAGGUGACUAUUUAAUACAACAGGCAGGCUUGCCUGUUUCAUAUGAAGACAUAUUAGGAAAAAAUUCUGUAAGAAUAAAGGAAGAGUUGCAGUUCUCCUCAGGCUGCUGUCUCUGAGCUGACACAAUGAUUUACACUAAAAUGCAUCAAAACCAUCACUUUUCUGACCAAGCCUUCAAGACCCAGAUGCCUGUGCAUGCAGCACCAGAGACAUGGAUACCAUUUUAUCAAAUAAAGGCACAGAUUACAUGGCUUUAUGACAGUCAAGGAUCCUCACUUACAAAAGGCAAGGCGUGUAUUUAAUUUUUAACAACUGGCAGGGACUAAUCACCUGGACAUUUAUUAAUAAAGACAUAAACAUUUAAAAGUUGUGAUUUAACUGGAACAGGAAAUGAAGAGAACAAUUACAAUAUAAUUAUUUGAACACUUCAGUGAACAGCAUGGAAGAGUAAGUGUAUGAAACCCUAGACUUAUGAGAUGCAUUAAGUUUUCAUUUACCCAAGACAAAGCAAAGUAAUAAAAUUACAAGUAACAUUAACUUUUAAUUGUGCUAUAAACUGGAUUUUUAUGACAAGAGAAAAUUGCCAUCCAAGAUCAUAUUAAUCAAUUUCAACAAGCCUUCAUUACAUUUUUUUCAAAAUUUUUAAUGUUAAUUUAUUUAGCAAUAAGCAUGCUGUAGAAAAUAUCAAAAACCAGCAAAAACAAGGAGUAAUUUAAUGGUCGCUUUAGCAGGAGGUACUAAAUUUUAAAUUAUUCCACAAGCUUUUCAAAAUUAGCCCAGUAGGAUCUACAGUUACCUCCAUAUAACCAGGAUCAGAUGCAUUCUGAAUUGCUUCAUAAAGUUCUGCACCAUCUUGCAAAUUACGGAUUUGCUGUCUUGUGACUGUCCGUGAUCUUGGUGUUCUUCUACUGGUUCUCUCUGUUGAGAAAAAGCCAUUAUGUGGAGUACAACCAACACACUUUAAAGUGAAGGAAGAAAUAAUUAUAUAAGCAGCACAGUAGUACUUAGGCCUUGCCAGAAUAAAAAUACAAAACUGAUGUAUAUGUGUAUGUGUGUAUAUAUAUCUCAGGAAAAUACAAGCAGAAAAAAAAUCUUACUCAUUUAAAUACAACAUAGAUUAGAGGAUUAUAUGACCUUUGGGGAAGCCAGUACCAGUGUCUGCACUUAGGAGAGUGUAGGGAGAUUUGAUGGGCUGCCAAGAACCUUCAUAGAUACUUGACUACAUUUUCUUUAUGUCCAUCACUUCCUCUUCCUCUCAUAGCAGCAGAAAAGUGUCAAAGACAUCAAGAUCUGGGACAGCAGCUGACCGCAGAGGCCUGUACAUGAAGCCUCCUCAGGACAUCAGCUAAAAGCCAAGUUAACUUCAUUACAUUAAACUACUAACAUCUCCUUAGGUAAGUCACUUUGCUGCCAGCAUUUUGAUGAAUUCCUUCAGCACAGCAGACUCCCAUGUGGACAACUUUAUCAAACAUAAAACAACACACAAAGUGACUGACAUGCAGAAGGUCACAGCAGUGAAGGUAAGAAUUACAAGGCCAUCUCUGAUUUCAACUAAGAAUUCCAUGCUCGAACUACUGCUAGAAAUCACUGGCAGAGGUGGACAGUGUCACCCAUUACAGAAUUAUAAUAUAGCUGAAGUGGAAUGGACCUCUGGAGGUCAUCUGGUCCAACCCUCCUGCUUAAGCAGGGUUACCCUAGAGAAGGCUGACCAAGACCACAUCCAGUGUGCUUUUGAUUAUCUCCAAGGAUGGAGAUUUCACAGCCUCUCUAGGCAACACUGUCAGUCAACCACCAUAGUGAAGAAGUGUUUACCAAUGUCCAGAGGGAACUUCCUGUGUUCCAGUUUGCGCCCAUUUGGCUCUAGACUUGUCACUGGACACCACUGACAAGCCUGGCUCCAUCUUCUCUGCACUGUCCCUUCAGGUGUUUAUGUACACUGAUCAGAUGCCCCUGAGCCUUCUCUUCUCCAAGCUCAACAGUGCCAACUCUCUCAGCCUUUCCUAUGUUGGAUGCUCCAAUUCCUUAAACACACUAAUGUCCCUUUGUUGUAAUCUCUCCAGUGUGUCCAUGUCUCUCUUGUACUGAGGAGCCCAGAACUGGACACAGCAUUCUAUGUGUGGCCUAAACAGAAGGGAAGGAUCACCUCCUUAGACCUUCUGGCAACAACCGUCAGCUUGUUCACCAGGACCCCCAGGGCCUUUUCUGCCAAGCUAUUUUCCAGAUGGGUGGCCCCCAGCAUGUACUGGUGCAUGGGACUGUUCCUCCCCAGGUGCAAGAUUUGCGAUUUGCUUUGUUGAACUUCAUGAGGUUCUUGUCAGCCCAUUUCUCCAGCUGCCAAGAUCCCUCUGGAUGGCAGCAUGAUCCUCUUGUCCUAAUUUUUAUCAUCAAACCUGCUGAAAGUACACUGCCGCAUUCUCCAGAUCAUUAACGAAGAUGUUAAAACAGGACUAGACCCAGUACUCAUCCCUGGCAUACACCAGUAGCCACUGGCCUCCAAACAGACUUUGUGCCACUCAUCACCACCCCCUGGGCCCUGCUGUUCAGCCAGUUUUCAAUCCUCCUGCCUGCCUGCUCAUCCAGCCCAUCAGCUUCUCUCUGCAGAUCUUAAGGGACACAGUGUCAAAAGCCUUUCUGAAGUCCAGGUAGACAACAGCUCUGCUCUUGCCUCAUCUACCCAAGCCAGUGACUUCAUCACAGAAGGUUGUCAGGUUGGUCAAACAUGACUUCCCCUGGGUGAAUCCUUGCCGAAUACUCCAAAUCACAUUUCUGUCCUUCAUGUGACUAUUAACAGUUUCCAGGAUUAUUUGUUCCAUCACCUUCUCAGGGAUCAGGGUAAGGCUGACUGGCUUGUAGUUUUCCAGGUGCUCCUUCCUGUCAUUUCUGAAUAUAGGAGACAUAUUUGCUUUCUUCCAGUCUCCAGGCACCCCUACCAAUCACCUAAUGAUAAUUCAAAGAGGAUCAAAAGCAGCCUCACAGACAUCAGUCAGCUCCUUCAGCACUUUUGAUUUCAUCCCAUCAUCAGCCAUGGACUUACAUAUGUCCAGUUUGCUUGGGUGUUCUCUAACUUGAUCCUCUUCCACCAAGCUAUGUCUUCCUUGCUUCAGAAUUUCCCCUGGUCUCCAGGGCCUGGGAUUGCCAAUCAAGGGUGAGGUGAAACAGUCAUUCAGUAACUCAGCCUUCUUCAUGGUCUGUGUCACCAGAGUCUCUGUCCCACUAAGCAGCUCCACUGACCUCAGUAUCUGCAGUGUCAUGCAAUUAUUCAUGAGGAAAGAUGCUCAGUGCUCAGUCUUGGUGUUCAGGUCUACUGAGACACAUCCCCGCAGUGCCCACCUCUUGGUGAAAUCCUACAGUGUCAUGCCCUUGAGGAGAAGGAUUAAGAAUUCUACAAUUCUGGAACACUUCCCUGAGCAUCAUCUUAAGGAUAAUUUUUUAGUGGCCUGGCUACCAAUAUGUUCAAGAAGCAUUUCCUAGGUAGCUGCAAAGCCACACAAAUAACCAUGUAACCGUUUUGUACUGAAUGGUCUUGCUACACAGUGUACCAAGCAAAAACCUGAAACAAUACAAAACAAAAACAACAACAAAGAAAAUAACCCCAAAUCCUGUCUCUGCUUCUUUAUCACCAGAGAAGAUUUUUGAAUAUUUCUUUACACUUUUCUGUAAACAUCAAAAAUGUUUUUGUGUUCUUAAUACAAGUUUUGAAAGAAUGAAAGCUUUACCUUCAUGCUUUUCAUAUUCUGCUUGGAUUUUUGCAAACAGAGUUUCCAGUUUCUUUUGCUGAUCCUCUGCGUGCUUGGCAGCUUCCCUUUCUUCAGCUCGGCUGUUACGGAAAACAUAAGAACCAGCUGACGUCUUUUCCAUCCACUGAAAUAAAAACAUUAAAAUUAAACCCAGACUUUUUAAAAAAUAUUUUUAACAUUAUCUAGCUUCCCUUAAAUACUCACAGUUAAGCAAAAACACUUUAAAAAUUAACAGGCAGCAGAUCUUAAGUUCUUUCAGUAUAAAAGUUAAAAGGCAAAACCCCACAGCAUUGGUUGGUAAAUUUUCACUUUAGAAACACACAGACAGAAUGGAACAGUAUCCAGACGCAGAAGAUUGAAGAGCUGAAGAAAACAGAGCUUCAAGUAGUGGGUAUCAGUGUUGUAGUUUAGAAGAUGAAUGGAUCCCACAGAUAGAUACAUUAAAAUACAAGCCAUCAAACUCAAUGCUUAAGAAUACACUCGACUGCAUUCUACCCAACUUGUAUUUCCACAUCAGCUGUGCUGUCUGUUUUCACACCCAAGAUUAGAUGCUGUAAAAGAACUAUUAUGUAGUUCUGCAGAUGUUCUUAAAUAUUUUCUGACUGAAAUGGUUCUGCAGGACUAGAGCCUUGUCAAAAACCCUACCAGAACUGGCUUGCCUGAUUUGAAGAGAUCAGUGACUCAAACAAGGAGAUCCACUGCUGCUGAAAGUGGUCCCUUCCCUUCCCCUUUUCUGCACAAUUCUGUCUUCUCCCUUGCACUGGCUCCAGCACGCAUCUGACCUCAGCAGGUCAUAUCAGUUUGGUAAUUCAACAGACAGCAGUUCAUUGUGUGUUUUUAAAAUUAUUAUUAGCUACUUUUUCCUGGUUUAAUGGAUUAAAUUAGCUAAGUAACAGGACCAGGUGAGCUCCAGGUUUUGAACAGAGAAGCAGCAGGAGAGUACAGUGAAAGCAGGAUAAGAAAAGGUUGCAGGACUAAUCCUUAUGAGGCAGUGAGUUGUUGAAAUAGGCUCUGUGUACCUUAAUAAUUGCACACCAUGUAUUUCCUGCAUUACUUACAGUAUGACACCUUUAAUUAAGGGUACUGUGAUUCCUACACUCCUUGACUCUUGAGGUAAAAGGAGACAGACAGCCCAAAUCUUCCUAUAAUUUUGGUAUGUUUGAGCGAGAGUCUCAGUGUUUAAAAAAGAAAAAAGUACAGCAAUCUCUUGACAUAGCCAGAUAUAAAGCACCACUUUCCUCCCCAGCCUGGAAACCAUUUACUGUGAUGCAGUUACAGAUUACAGUUCCCUUUCUGAGACCUAAAUAAAUGGUUGUUCUACCAGGCAGCUCACGUAAUAAGUGCUGCAAUUUCCUCUAUUAAAGUAAUGAUCUAAAUAGCAAAGUAAUGAUCCAAACCAAAUGUUGCUAGUACCUUUGCAGAACUCAUUCUACAUCCACCAAUAACUAUACAAUACCUUAGAAAGAAGGCAAUGAAAAAAGAAUCCUAGAUGUACAUGCCACAUAUAACAUAUUCUGAGAAAAGUUAAUAAAAUAUGGAAGUUAUGUCCUGGUUAAACUGCUAACAUUAAAAUGAUUGAUUACUAACAAAAAUAUUGUUUCUUUUUGUGUCUGGUAUAGUUAUAAAACCAAGUAGUUGCAGUGAAGUCUGACCGUAUUUAAAAUGUCUCGAUAUCAAGUGGUAUUUAAAAGAUUUUAACCCUGUUUUAUACCAUAAUCACACACUGUAUUUUCAGCCAUAUUUUUAAAUAAUAGAACUUAUACAAUACGGUCAGCUACACAUAAGAAAAAUUAAUCCUACUAAUGCUAGAAAUAUGUAACUUCUAUGUUAAUAUGUUAAUAAUAAAACAAACUGGGUUUCACUUCUA
Long non-coding RNA from Corvus hawaiiensis (hawaiian crow), 6220 nucleotides. RefSeq lists it as uncharacterized. Lineage: Eukaryota; Metazoa; Chordata; Aves; Passeriformes; Corvidae. The record is from RefSeq and is a predicted model, not a curated record. The transcript has 2 exons.